This 497-nucleotide ribosomal RNA is filed under the name uncultured bacterium. RNAcentral's name for it is "partial 16S ribosomal RNA". It matches the Rfam family "Bacterial small subunit ribosomal RNA", at positions 28 to 507 of the family's 1533-position model. The record is from RNAcentral.
GAUGAACGCUGGCGGCGUGCCUAAUACAUGCAAGUCGAGCGAACAGAUGAGGAGCUUGCUCCUCUGACGUUAGCGGCGGACGGGUGAGUAACACGUGGAUAACCUACCUAUAAGACUGGGAUAACUUCGGGAAACCGGAGCUAAUACCGGAUAAUAUAUUGAACCGCAUGGUUCAAUAGUGAAAGACGGUUUUGCUGUCACUUAUAGAUGGAUCCGCGCCGCAUUAGCUAGUUGGUAAGGUAACGGCUUACCAAGGCAACGAUGCGUAGCCGACCUGAGAGGAGGAUAGGCCACACGGGAACUGAGACAGGGUCCAGAGUACUACGGGAGGCAGCAGUAGGGAAGCUUCAGCAAUGGGCGAAAGCCUGAAGGAGCAACGCCGCGUGAGUGAUGAAGGUCUUCGGAUCGUAAAACUCUGUUAUUAGAGAAGAACAAAUGUGUAAGUAACUAUGCACGUCUUGACGGUACCUAAUCAGAAAGCCACGGCUAACUACGUG